RNAcentral lists this long non-coding RNA (504 nucleotides) under Olea europaea subsp. europaea. The record is from RNAcentral. Lineage: Eukaryota; Viridiplantae; Streptophyta; Magnoliopsida; Lamiales; Oleaceae.
CAAUUUCAUAACUUUCUAUAUUUGUAAGUACCAAAUUAAUAAACUUCAUAAACUCAAAUUCAUUGUCUCAUUUGAAACUUCACACUUCAAUCAAACUGUAAUUCCAACCAUUAAAAUAAACAAAAAGAAUCUAUAUCCAACAUCACUAACCAAGCCAAAAUCAGACAUUUGCAGCAGUCAAAAACUUCAAAUUUCAACAAUAAAAUUGAUGGCCCGUUAAAUAUUCCUCUAAUACAAAAUGAAAAUCCAAAUAAAUAGUUCCACAAAUGUAACAUUUCCAUAUAUACACACGCACAAAGGAAAUGAAAGUGCCAGGGAGAGCAGGUAUAUCAAAAGAGACAACCGGCUUGUAGGACUUCUCUACUUCUUCAAGGCAAAAGCUCCCUGCGAUUUAUAAAUAACUGAGAUAUCAAAAUCUAGGGAUGUCAAGAAACUAAAAACAGAAAAUAGUUCUUGUGCAGAUGGAGACCAUUCUUUUAAUUCCAAAAAAAGCUAAGAGUUAUA